RNAcentral lists this long non-coding RNA (5556 nucleotides) under Citrus x clementina. Its description in RNAcentral is "Citrus clementina (C. clementina) long non-coding RNA (CCLE_LNC003383)". The record is from RNAcentral. Lineage: Eukaryota; Viridiplantae; Streptophyta; Magnoliopsida; Sapindales; Rutaceae.
UAAAACUAUACUCAUCACGUGAAUUACUACUGAGGAUAAUUUAUUAUAAAUCAAUAUUAUAUAAUUACUUUGAACACCCAUAAAGCACACUUAUUAUUCCAUAUAUAAUUCUCAAAUGCCUUUUACCCUAAAACUUUUAUUUCUAAUAUCUUAAUCCAUGCUUAGAACUUAGAAGAACAAUGAGGAAAUCAAUAUUUUUGAAAAAAAAUUGACUACAAAGUAUUUGUAAUACUUUUUAUUUUUUUGAAAAAUAAAAUGAUACAAAAAUAUUGGAAAGAUUUUUUUUUCCUUUUGAGCCUUCUUCUUCUUCUUAUUUGUCUUUUCGUCGUCGUUGUCUUCUUCUCCUAGUUUUUUUUUUUAUUUGGACGUACUUACAGAUUUUUUUAUUAUGUUCUCAUUAAAAGUAGUUUUGGGUACAAAGUCUAAUAUUAAACAUAAAUAAACAGAAAAUUAAUGACUAAAAUUAUGUUAAAUAAUUUGUUUACCACUUGAUUUGAUUAUAUUAUUGUAAGUAUGAGUUAGAUCUCUUAAAACUGGUGCGAUCAAUAGUUUAUUUGUGUUUCAACUAAAUAAAGUGAAGUUUUUUUUUUUUUUUUUGGGGGAUAAACCCCUGUAAAGAGGCAAUUUAUUCUAAGUAAAAGAAACAUUUACAAUCAAUUAAUGGAGAACAUAGUGAACCUUACCCCUUAGAAUAAUUAUAAAACCGAAAUAGAUGAAAAUAAGCGAAAAGCCAUUAAGUAACAACAAAAUAGAACAAGCUUCUAGAAAAUCCAUAUCUUGGAAAACCAUUUACCUCUUUGGAAAGAACGCUUUGAACCUCGUAAGGUGCAGCAUGCCACCAAGAAAGGUCACUACAAUCAAGCCCAAGAUUAGCCAGACCAUUUGCAAUGCGAUUGCAUUCUCUAAAAGUAUGAGAAAAACGAAGCUAUAAAGUUAAGUAAUUAAUUUAAAAGUUAAGAAAAUUUUAAAAAUUUUAAGAGUGUAUAAAAGUAAAAUUAAUUUAUGAGUAUACACAGUCAUGUAGUGUAAUAAUUUAUUUUAUGAGUAUACACAGUCAUAUAGUAUAAUAAUUUAUUUUAUGUAUUCUUAAUUUAUUCAUUAGACUUCAAGUACAAAAUUACAAUCACACAUUAAUAAUUUCCAACGAAAAACUACAAUAAGAAAACUAGCUAAUCAGACCUAGAAAAAUCGUACGGAAAAAAUCUCCAAAGCCUCUUGUUUGAAUAUGGAAUCAUUUAGAAGUAAUCGUGAUUGUAUCCUCUCUUUAGCUUUGUAGAAUAAUCAUUUAGUAGAAGAAUGUCAAAUGAUCAUUCUGGCCAGUAAAAAUAGAAAUUCAAUAUCUUUAGCCCGAGCAAGUAUUUUGACUAGAAAAAUUGUAAUUGGUUGAAACCAUGAGUGCCCCCUCAAAUUUUUUGCUUUUUAUGUAAAUUCUCCAUUUUUCUAGAAUGCACAAUUUUUUUUUAACCUUUUCUGAACUUUAGAUUUUUUUUUUUUGAGAAUGUUUAAGUUAAAACAGUGGAAAAAUCUUUUUAAGUCUUGUAUGGCGCACAAAAUCUGACCCCACUAGCUUUGUCUUUUUUAAAGUGAGAAAUUAAAAAAAAUAAAUAAAUAAGUAAAAGAAGAAAGAAUCCCGUUAGUGCGCAAAAAAGUUGGAUUUGGAAAGAAAAGUAAGUCCUCGGUAACAGAUACUAGGUGCAUAAGUGAUUACUUUUAUUUGAUAAUCCAUGCAUUUGGAAAGAAAAGUAAGGCUACAGUAAAAAUUAGGGGUAAAAAUGAUUACUGAGCUGGACCCUCUUUCAUUUGAAAAAUUGUAGGAAAAAAAGAGAGUAGAAAAUGAUGAUGAAUUAUUGAAUUGGGACCCCAAUCGUACGAGUCCAAGAAAACGUAAUGAUUUACAAAUUCUCAAAGAAUUAAGUUCUUCUUUGGGCUCUUGCCACUUUUUUUUUGGGACCGAUACGACUUUAUAUGAGCGAAAAAUCUGGGGAGAAAUUGACUUUCAACUUUAUACAGUAGGGUGCUUCUUAGAAUUUUAUUAGUAUUCUAAAAUAUUAAUCUUCCACAUUAAGAGAUAAGUAAGAGUAAUUUUUUUUUGUGUUUGACUAGAGAUUACUCAUGUGCUUGAUUUAAUUGUAAAUUAGAGUUGAAUAACUCAAAUUUACAUGUGAUUUGAAUCAUUCAAGUUGGAUUAAAUUAUGAGACACAUGGAUAAUUAAUUUAAAUUAAAUAAGAAAAAUGAAUGAUUAAUUUAAAUUAAAUUAGGAAAAGAACUAAAGAGAGUUUGUCAUAAGGGAGACAAACAAAGCCUUCCACGAUGAUUGUUGAGAAGAGAAUAGUUCUAUUAUUCUUUUUAAUGCAUUUUACUUUUGUCUCAUAUUUUUUCAUCAAAUUUAUUUUGUUGUUAUAAACUGUUGUGUUUAAAGCGUAACUUCACAACAAUAUCAUUGUAUCUUAGAGAUUAAACUGUCUUAUUUGUCUUUCUUACGCCGAGAAAUCUUCAUUUGAGGGGUGGAAUUUAGUCUUAAGGACAAUGCUUCAUGCACACCUUGACAAAUUUAUGUUUGCCAAUCGGGUAACAACUUGAGCAUUUCAGGAUGCAACUUUUAGGUUUACUAUUGCAAGUUCCGACAUUUACCGGGUGCAAUUCCAAGGUCGAAUAACUAUGUUGCUAUGCUCAAGCCAUUGUUCAUCGUCAGUGUGUUUGCUGAUUGAAGUUCUGCUCAGGAUGAUUUUGGAUUCUUACAAACAAUAUUGACUCAUAUUUCCAAUAAUCUUAAGACCAAUUUAUGAGGUUUGAUUAUUUCUUCAAAUAAGGUAUACAAACCUACUAUCUACGAUUUUUAUUAGCUAUAAAAAUGCAUCUACAAUUAGGGAUUUAUUAAAAUAUACAUGGUAGUAGAUCCCAAAUCUUAGUAAGUUUUAUUAGUGACUUCUUUAAUUUUAGGCAUGCUUUGGUAAGAAAUAUUUGACUACCUAAGAUUACAACAAAGAUUUAAGCUAAUAGUUGGUUAUUAUAAAAUUCGCCACAAUUAAUUUAAAUUGAUUUUCAAUCUAAAAUUUUUAUAUGUUAUACUGGACAUCCAAAGAAAUUUUUGAAACUUGUUACACUAGAAAUUUUUUGUUCUAGUAAAAUAUAUGAAUUAUGAAACUAUUUUACCAUAUCCAUACUUCUUAAAAAAUUUUGAAAUUUGAAACAUUGUUUCCUAUAUAUGUCUUCAAAAACUAUGAAAUUCGGAAAAUUGUUUCCUAUAUUCAGUAAAAUACAUGAAUUAUGAAAAUUUCAUGAUUUUUCAUACUAGAAUAAAUUAUUUUGAAUUUUUUAACUUAGUAAGCUCAAAGCAGAAAAAUAUUUGACAAGAUUUAUGAGGUCAAAAAUGAAAAUUAUUUUCAAUAGUUUUAGAUGGAAUUGAGCUACGGUAAUUUUAUUAUUAAAACUCUAUAUGUCAGCAUACGCUCUGUAAAAUUAUAUUGUUUUGAUGAUGAAAUAAUUUAUUAAAAAUCAAAGACUAAAGAAUGCUCUAUUGUGGAACUAAUGUUGUUUAUUAUUUGAGUCUUGAAGAUACAAUUGUGAUUAUUAGAAUUAAAGAGAAAAAUAUCAAUAAUGAGAAUAGAAUGGUCAAGGAAUUAAAUUCCGAAACAAAUUUACUUGAGAAUUAUUGUCCUUACAACAAGAAGCAGAAGAAAAGUCCCAAUAAUUAUUUCAAUCUCAUUAUUAAAGUUAAGAAAAUUGUAUUGCCAAGUAAAUUCUACCUCUAGCCUGGUGUAGCCCUCUUAAAUAUUUUAUUUAGUUAUAUAAUUGCCCUUAUUGAAAUUUAUAUAAAUAUUUUUUUUUAAAAGUUAUGCCGCCUUUUCAACCAUCCUCAAAUUCUUGUCAGAAUUCAUCCGAACUACAAUUUGAAACUCUCAUCUUUUCAUGAUUCAUUGUCAAAGUAUAAGCUUUUAAGUUAAAUGUAAAGAGCAAUUAUAAAUUUCAAAGAAAAAUAGGUAAUUUUAUAAUUUAAAUAUUGUUUUUUAUUAUGCUGCACUUUAUUAUUUUAUUUUUUAUUACAUUAUACUUUUAUUUUUUAUUAGGAAUUAUAUUUCAAUAAUUUCAUCUGUACAUAACUAAUAUUUUGAAAAGUAAGGCUCAUUAUGUCCCCUUAUUAAGUGUAUCUUUAUUUAAUAAAGUUCUCUCAUCCAAUAGAAAAGUAUUGAGGGCCAUUUUAUGAUGCCAUGAUUAAAGUUACGGUAUCAAUACCGUAAUUAAACAUAAAUUAUGUUAACAUGAAUAUGUUAAUAAUAUUGAUUUUGAUAAUAACAAACAUUAAAUGGUUUUUUUAUAAAAUGUUGGAGCUAUUUCUUAAAUAAACGAAAGCCUUAUAAACAUUCCAAUUAUAUUCAUAAAAGAUGGACUUUCAAAUUAGAAAAUGAUUCUCAGAAAAAAAAUCUGGUUUAAAAUGUGAUUACGGAAAUAAACAGUGAACUGUUUUCUUUUGAACAGUUAACCGAUUAAAACCAGAGAGCAACAUAUUGCCUAAACUGUAACCGAUUAAGAAAAACGAAAAACACAAAAAACUGGGAAGGCUACUGUAAUUUAACGGUGAACCAUUUAUUUAAAUGGUUAACCGAUAAAAUCCAGAAUUGAAGAUUGUACUCAUCUGGCACCAUUUAACAAAACCGGAUAAGGCUAAUUUGUUUUGCAGGUUAUUGGAAAUAAACGGCGAACCGUUGAUUACAAACGGUUAACCGAUAAUUUCCAGAGAGGUCAUUUCAUGCAAAUCCUUAACCGUUUAAUGUAAACGGAUAACUGAUGGUCAUCUUGUAGGUCACUGGAAUUUAACGGCGAAAGGUUGACCCUAAACGGCAAACCGUUUAUUUGAAAAUUAGCCCAACGGUAAUAUUGACAAGACAAAACGGUUAACCGUUAAUGUCUAACGGCGAACUAUUUUCUAGCAGACAGUGUAUAACGGCUAGUUUUUUAGCUACAGUUAUAAAUAAGCUCAUUCAAAAUCAAAUAAGAUUUAUCACAACACGAACAUUGAGCUUAUAUUCGAGAAUACAAUUUUCAUAGAGCUUUAAAACACAUUCUUACUUCAUCUAUUCACACAUUGGGCAUUGAUUUGUAAUCUUAAAUAUUGUGUGAGAGAAAAAUAAUUUUUAAUCUUUUACUUUGAGUGAUUGUAAGUGUUGGGAUACACUUGGGUUAAGAGAUUGGGAAUAAUCUCUUGUUGUAAAGGUUCAUUGACACCUUGGAAGUCAAGUGUAAGCAUUUGAAGCCUUGGAGGCUUGCUUAGUAAAAUCCUCAAGCCCGGAAAGUUUGGAGGCGUGGACGUAGGCGAGGUUGGCCGAACCACGUAAAAAUCUCCGUAUUUGAAUCUCUCUUCUCUUAUCUUUUUAUAUUGUAAUUGAUUUAAUUGUUAUUCCAUUAAAUUCAUUUUAGAUUUGCUUGAUAAUUUGUUUUAGAAUCCAAUAAUUUUUGGAAUCCCAAUUCACCCCCUCUUGGGUUGCACACUUGUAUUUCAAAUUAUGUAAAUGAAUAAUAAAACUUGUAAAUCAACAUUAACUGUAAAAUAAAAUAUA